This 76-nucleotide transfer RNA is filed under the name Dolosigranulum pigrum. RNAcentral describes it as "tRNA-Thr". It matches the Rfam family "tRNA". Rfam says of the family: Transfer RNA (tRNA) molecules are approximately 80 nucleotides in length. Their secondary structure includes four short double-helical elements and three loops (D, anti-codon, and T loops). Further hydrogen bonds mediate the characteristic L-shaped molecular structure. tRNAs have two regions of fundamental functional importance: the anti-codon, which is responsible for specific mRNA codon recognition, and the 3' end, to which the tRNAs corresponding amino acid is attached (by aminoacyl-tRNA synthetases). tRNAs cope with the degeneracy of the genetic code in two manners: having more than one tRNA (with a specific anti-codon) for a particular amino acid; and 'wobble' base-pairing, i.e. permitting non-standard base-pairing at the 3rd anti-codon position. Lineage: Bacteria; Bacillati; Bacillota; Bacilli; Lactobacillales; Carnobacteriaceae. The record is from RNAcentral.
GCCGACAUAGCUCAGUAGGUAGAGCGCAUCCAUGGUAAGGAUGAGGUCACGGGUUCAAAUCCCGUUGUUGGCUCUA